UUAAAUUGAAGAGUUUGAUCAUGGCUCAGAUUGAACGCUGGCGGCAGGCCUAACACAUGCAAGUCGAACGGUAACAGGAAGCAGCUUGCUGCUUCGCUGACGAGUGGCGGACGGGUGAGUAAUGUCUGGGAAACUGCCUGAUGGAGGGGGAUAACUACUGGAAACGGUGGCUAAUACCGCAUAACGUCGCAAGACCAAAGAGGGGGACCUUCGGGCCUCUUGCCAUCAGAUGUGCCCAGAUGGGAUUAGCUUGUUGGUGAGGUAACGGCUCACCAAGGCGACGAUCCCUAGCUGGUCUGAGAGGAUGACCAGCCACACUGGAACUGAGACACGGUCCAGACUCCUACGGGAGGCAGCAGUGGGGAAUAUUGCACAAUGGGCGCAAGCCUGAUGCAGCCAUGCCGCGUGUAUGAAGAAGGCCUUCGGGUUGUAAAGUACUUUCAGCGGGGAGGAAGGUGUUGUGGUUAAUAACCGCAGCAAUUGACGUUACCCGCAGAAGAAGCACCGGCUAACUCCGUGCCAGCAGCCGCGGUAAUACGGAGGGUGCAAGCGUUAAUCGGAAUUACUGGGCGUAAAGCGCACGCAGGCGGUCUGUCAAGUCGGAUGUGAAAUCCCCGGGCUCAACCUGGGAACUGCAUUCGAAACUGGCAGGCUUGAGUCUUGUAGAGGGGGGUAGAAUUCCAGGUGUAGCGGUGAAAUGCGUAGAGAUCUGGAGGAAUACCGGUGGCGAAGGCGGCCCCCUGGACAAAGACUGACGCUCAGGUGCGAAAGCGUGGGGAGCAAACAGGAUUAGAUACCCUGGUAGUCCACGCCGUAAACGAUGUCUACUUGGAGGUUGUGCCCUUGAGGCGUGGCUUCCGGAGCUAACGCGUUAAGUAGACCGCCUGGGGAGUACGGCCGCAAGGUUAAAACUCAAAUGAAUUGACGGGGGCCCGCACAAGCGGUGGAGCAUGUGGUUUAAUUCGAUGCAACGCGAAGAACCUUACCUGGUCUUGACAUCCACAGAAGAAUCCAGAGAUGGAUUUGUGCCUUCGGGAACUGUGAGACAGGUGCUGCAUGGCUGUCGUCAGCUCGUGUUGUGAAAUGUUGGGUUAAGUCCCGCAACGAGCGCAACCCUUAUCCUUUGUUGCCAGCGGUUAGGCCGGGAACUCAAAGGAGACUGCCAGUGAUAAACUGGAGGAAGGUGGGGAUGACGUCAAGUCAUCAUGGCCCUUACGACCAGGGCUACACACGUGCUACAAUGGCGCAUACAAAGAGAAGCGACCUCGCGAGAGCAAGCGGACCUCAUAAAGUGCGUCGUAGUCCGGAUUGGAGUCUGCAACUCGACUCCAUGAAGUCGGAAUCGCUAGUAAUCGUGGAUCAGAAUGCCACGGUGAAUACGUUCCCGGGCCUUGUACACACCGCCCGUCACACCAUGGGAGUGGGUUGCAAAAGAAGUAGGUAGCUUAACCUUCGGGAGGGCGCUUACCACUUUGUGAUUCAUGACUGGGGUGAAGUCGUAACAAGGUAACCGUAGGGGAACCUGCGGUUGGAUCACCUCCUUA
Molecule: ribosomal RNA, 1544 nt
Filed under: Salmonella enterica subsp. enterica serovar Gallinarum str. 287/91
Lineage: Bacteria; Pseudomonadati; Pseudomonadota; Gammaproteobacteria; Enterobacterales; Enterobacteriaceae
Description: 16S ribosomal RNA
Rfam family: Bacterial small subunit ribosomal RNA
Source: RNAcentral